This 164-nucleotide ribosomal RNA is filed under the name Helicobacter heilmannii. Its description in RNAcentral is "partial 16S ribosomal RNA". It matches the Rfam family "Bacterial small subunit ribosomal RNA", at positions 29 to 190 of the family's 1533-position model. The record is from RNAcentral. Lineage: Bacteria; Pseudomonadati; Campylobacterota; Epsilonproteobacteria; Campylobacterales; Helicobacteraceae.
AGUGAACGCUGGCGGCGUGCCUAAUACAUGCAAGUCGAACGAUGAAGCCUAGCUUGCUAGGCGGAUUAGUGGCGCACGGGUGAGUAACGCAUAGAUGACAUGCCCUUUAGUUUGGGAUAGCCACUAGAAAUGGUGAUUAAUACCAAAUAUUACCCUACGGGNGA